This 332-nucleotide long non-coding RNA is filed under the name Panax ginseng (ginseng). Its description in RNAcentral is "long non-coding RNA (PGIN_LNC002229)". The record is from RNAcentral. Lineage: Eukaryota; Viridiplantae; Streptophyta; Magnoliopsida; Apiales; Araliaceae.
CCAUACAAAGAAUUGGUCAACCUAACCACUACAUCGACCAGGAAGCUAAGUGAUUCUAAAACCAAGUACAAAUUCCCCGCCCAUACAAGGAAUCAUACAACUCAGCUGCCGACAUGAGUCCUCAAUUGAAAUCCCCACCUAAUCUUAACACCCUUCUCAAUACGAAUUUCAUUUAAUCCGUAUUCAUAAUCCAUAACUCUUUCAUGAGCUUUUCAUAGUACAAUUUACAGACAACAUCUUGCUGUAACUUUUAAAUCAUUCGCUUGAUCCUUCUCCAUACUAUAACCUUAUCAGAUCACGGGGUGAUCUCAUCGUAUAUAUUACGAUUCAAU